RNAcentral lists this ribosomal RNA (253 nucleotides) under uncultured bacterium. Its description in RNAcentral is "partial 16S ribosomal RNA". It matches the Rfam family "Bacterial small subunit ribosomal RNA", at positions 524 to 776 of the family's 1533-position model. The record is from RNAcentral.
UACGAAGGGGGCUAGCGUUGCUCGGAAUCACUGGGCGUAAAGCGCACGUAGGCGGAUUUCUAAGUCAGGGGUGAAAUCCUGGAGCUCAACUCCCGAACUGCCUUUGAUACUGGGAAUCUAGAGUCCGGGAGAGGUGAGUGGAACUGCGAGUGUAGAGGUGAAAUUCGUAGAUAUUAGGAGGAAUACCGGUGGCGAAGGCGGCCUUCUGGGCCAUACUUGACGCUGAGACGCGAAAGCGUGGGGAGCAAACAGG